RNAcentral lists this ribosomal RNA (396 nucleotides) under uncultured bacterium. Its description in RNAcentral is "bacterial SSU rRNA". It matches the Rfam family "Bacterial small subunit ribosomal RNA", at positions 505 to 898 of the family's 1533-position model. The record is from RNAcentral.
GUGUCAGCAGCCGCGGUAAUACGUAGGUGGCAAGCGUUGUCCGGAAUUAUUGGGCGUAAAGAGCGUGUAGGCGGGUAUUUAAGUCAGAUGUGAAAACUUGGGGCUCAACCUCAUAGACUGCAUUUGAAACUGGAUACCUUGAGGGUAAGAGAGGGCAGUGGAAUUCCUAGUGUAGCGGUGAAAUGCGUAGAUAUUAGGAGGAACACCAGUGGCGAAGGCGACUGCCUGGCUUACAACUGACGCUGAGACGCGAAAGCGUGGGGAGCAAACAGGAUUAGAUACCCUGGUAGUCCACGCCGUAAACGAUGGGUACUAGGUGUAGGAGGUAUCGACCCCUUCUGUGCCGCAGUUAACACAUUAAGUACCCCGCCUGGGGAGUACGGCCGCAAGGUUGAA